Molecule: RNA transcript, 2885 nt
Organism: Elaeis guineensis (African oil palm)
Lineage: Eukaryota; Viridiplantae; Streptophyta; Magnoliopsida; Arecales; Arecaceae
Gene name: ethylene-responsive transcription factor ERF114
Source: RefSeq, a predicted model, not a curated record
CCCAAUGCCCGUUCUUAUCAUCUCCCCCACCUCCCUCCGAGUCCUUCAUCUCUUUCUAUAUUUUCCCUCUUCUUCUUUCCUCCCUCCCAUCUCUUUAUAUAUACCUCCAUAUAUUCCUUGCUUCUCUUUUUCCUCCUCCUCCUCCUCUUUCUCCUCUAUCCACCACCAUAGAAAAGAUGAUCAUCAUCUGAUCAUCUCCAAACCAAAGAGGAGGUCGAUCCAUCGCAUGGGAGGCUGAGGCAAAAGAGGAGAGAGAGAGAGAUAGAGAGAAAGGUGGAUCGAAGGCAUGGGAAGAGGCCCCUCCCUCCCGACGAGCAGGAGGAGAAGGAAGGAGAGCGCGUGUUCUCGCAAUAUACCACGGAGCGCGCCGAUCAGGACGCGUCGGCCAUGGUAUCGGCCCUUGCUCAUGUGAUCAGCUCGAGCUCACCGGGGGUGGGAGUGGGAGUGGGAGUGGGAGGGGGCGAGACUAGGGAGAUCCAGCCGGAGUUGAGCCCGGCCAUGGCCGGGACGGGCUCGGGAAGCAUGGAGAUCAGGGAGCUCAGCCAACCUUCACAAGAGCAAGGGAAUGUGAGGAGAAGGCACUACAGGGGAGUGAGGCAAAGACCAUGGGGGAAAUGGGCAGCAGAAAUAAGGGACCCCAAGAAGGCAGCAAGAGUAUGGUUAGGGACCUUUGACACGGCCGAACAAGCCGCCAUAGCCUACGAUGAGGCGGCCCUGAGGUUCAAAGGCACCAAGGCCAAGCUCAAUUUCCCUGAGAGAGUCCAAGGCCGGACUGACCUUGGCUUCUUACUUAGUAGGGGAAUCCCAGAGCGACAACCAGAGCCCAUCACCCCAUCGGCGGCAGCUACAUACCCGGACCUACUUCAGUAUGCCCAGCUCCUCCAAAGUAGAGACGAAGACUUCCACAAUGUGGCAUCAGGGCUCUACAUCGGAGGCUCCUUCGCGUCGGGAUCUUCUCAAAUGUCACCGGCAUCUAUGUCGGGUUCUUCGCAAGAGUUUUUGGAUUUCUCUUCGCAGUUUGGUACCUCUUCUUCCUCUACCUCAUGGCCUCAUGGAGACCAGAAGGAUAAAGACAGCAGCCAGCAUCCGUGAGACUGGUGUUGGAUGUGUUUGAGUUGGUGCAAAAGUGUGUGAAAGAGAAAGAGAUAGAGAAUGAUAUCGAUGGGACUAUGGAUAUUGUCAAGGAAAACCUUUCAUAAACUACGGAAAUCUCGAGUCCUCGUUUGUGAACAAGACAACUGCAACAGUUUAAUUGAGAAUAGAGAGGACAAGAGGAGAAGAGGUUUCGGUGGUCGAUGAUUUGGUUCCUUCUUGAGCCACUGGUCAAGGCUCUUUAAAUGUUUGACCCUUUAAGAGAUUCUUCUAUAUAUGCUUGAUCGAUAUUUUGUCAGCUGUUGUUUGCUCAAUACUAGAACUAUAAAAGGAACUAUAGAACUUUUAUUUCGGGUGGGGACAAAUUGGAAUGGAGAUCGAGAGGAGAGUUUCUACACGAUUUCUUGCUGACCUCCAAAAUGGUUUUUCCUUCUCUUAUGCAGCAUCCAAGUCAUUUACACCACCUUCACAAAACUUGCAUAGAUACUCAGAGAGGGAGUAAGUAAUAAUGUCAAGGCUAACCAACUACAGAAAAAGUAUUAAGCUAGCGCAUUGAAGCUUACCUUUAUUGCUUGCAAUACUUGAAAGACGAAUUGCAAUAAGAAAUAUAGCAAAGAAUAUUGCCUUCAUGACUUUUGGAAGGUAUGCUUGCUUAAUAUACUCUUGGCACAUAUAGUAAGAGGGUGAUGGUCAAAUGGUUAAUAAAACUAUUAGAAGACGAUCGCAUAUCUUCAGGUGCUGGAGCAAAGAUAUAGAAAAUGACCGUAGGCCUAAUACUCAAAGGAGAAGAUGGAGAAGAGGUUAAGACAAGAAGAAAAAGAAUCCAUCAUCUGGUCUUCGUUCAACUACCCAUUGGUUUUCUAAGUCAUGGAAGUCGGCAGCCGAUUUUGGGUUUUCUGGUAGCUACGAUCUCAGGAGAGUCGGCAGCUUUAGCUUUAGCCUUAGCCUUAGCCUUAGCUUUUCGGCCGGCCUCAGGGCCUUCGAGGAGGCGGCCCACUUAUCAUGACACGUGGCACUGGGAGCCUCCCCCCUCUCUACGUUUGCUUUGUUCCUCACGUCUCUUAAUCUUCGCCAAAACACCUAACGUUGAUCGUUGGCCACGUGCAUGUCGGCAUCCACCCACCGGGAAGUGGCGUCCAGUGUACCUCCACGUGGAGGAGCAUCGCAUGAUGCGCGUGCCUCGACAGCCAGCGGUGGGACCCACACGUUCGUGUUUUGAAGCACGUGUGCUCUAAUGUCUGUCAUGCACGUAUGCUACGUGGCCCGUAUUGCCAUGCAAUACGCCAGCCUAGUUUGGCGCGAAUGUGAUCGUCUCUGUGAAUAUUUUGUGGUUAAAUUUUUUUUUUAAAUUAUUUAAUCAUGCUGACAGGCCUGGCUAAGUGGCUACAAACGUAUCGCACAUCUCUUUAGAGAAUGGUGUGGGCAUGUGAGGGUGCACCCGUGUCCAAAGAAGGGAGUUUGUAAGUUAAAAGAACUUAUUCUUGAGUUGUUCUUCAAGCACAUAUCAACAUCAUUCUCCAAAAGAAGAAAUGUACUGGCAGAGUAUAGAGCAUAUAAAACGAGUAACAAGUUAGGAAGUUAGGUCAAUUCUAGCUUGUUUCACAUGAAUUAGGUGAAGUCCUGGCUUGCUUUAUGAUUGAUGAUGCUACCUACCGUGUAGAUAUGUAUGGCACCAAAUGUGAAUUGAGAUGUCUCUGACAAGAGACAUGUGUCCUGUAAAUUAUAAUUGAGAAUCAUGAAUCAGUUCUAGCAUCAAUCUUUGGUAGAUGAUGACGAUCUUUUUAACAGCUUAA